CUUUCCUUGAGCACAAACUGGCUUAUUACAAAAGGAGGUACUUAGUAGCACAUAUGUGAUUCCCUGGGAUAAAUCUUCUCUGCAUAGGUGAAAAAACAACUUCAGAAAGGGGUGAGCUUCAGCAGAGUAGGGGACAUUCCCCAUUGAUUUUUUAGUAAAGUAUGUCAGUAUAUUUCAUAUAUCAUAUAGUAAUUCACAUGGAGCUGAGUUCUUCACAGCAGUAUGUUUUCAGCGCAAGAAACCAUUUUUAUCGUGUUUUAUCACUCUUCUUUUUUCCCAGCACACAUACCCAUAAGCGCCUGCCUCACUGUAAGAGUACAAAAUGGAUCUGAGAGGUGAUUUUGCCCACCAAGUCAAAAUGGUCGUAUUAUCCCUUCUCAUUAGCGAGAACACUAGCCUCUUCUAAUUUAGAAAUGCAUGUUCCAGAACCAGACAAGUGAAAAGAAAGGGAGAAGGAACUGUUAAAAGUGGAGCUUUGUGAAGGUAAACAUCUCUAACGUGCCCAGAAGUGAUGCUGAUAGCAUUCUUGAGAUGUGCAAGCCUCUUCCAUGGAGCACUGAGGAGAAGCCUGGAAACAGAGGUGACUGCACACAGCUCAGACACCUAAGCUGAAAAGUGGCAGAGACACUACUUCUGGGACUUGCUGUCUUACUCCAAGACCCUUUCUGGAAACUGGAGUGGUCCAUACAGAAAAUUACAAGGGUCUAGAAGAAUACAAAUGAUAGCCAGCAGGGAGGAGGGUGCAAAACAAUCUAAAACCUGCUUGAGAACAAGAUACAUCCAACACAUUUCUUCAGAAGUUCAGAAGAGGCCCCUGCUUGCCCCUGCCGGUUCUGUACAGACAGGUACUAAACUUCACAUCUGGGUAUGGCAGAAAUACUGUAUUCAGUUGUCUAAACUUCUAUCACUGGCAUGUCUGCUAAGGCAAAAAUUAGUCAAUUAG
Molecule: long non-coding RNA, 943 nt
Filed under: Struthio camelus australis
Lineage: Eukaryota; Metazoa; Chordata; Aves; Struthioniformes; Struthionidae
Description: lncRNA (ENSSCUG00000015551.1)
Source: RNAcentral